Homo sapiens (human) is the source of this 138-nucleotide non-coding RNA. NCBI's taxonomy places the organism in Eukaryota, Metazoa, Chordata, Mammalia, Primates, Hominidae. The record is from Rfam.
AUUUCCCCACCCCUAUUUCUACUUCCCAGAGUUAGUCAUUCUCAAAAAUGUAUAUAUAUACACAUGUAUAUGUAUGUGUAUAUAUAUACAUUUUUGAGAAUGACUAACUCUGGGAAGUAGAAAUAGGGGUGGGGAAUA